Molecule: non-coding RNA, 80 nt
Organism: Glossina brevipalpis
Lineage: Eukaryota; Metazoa; Arthropoda; Insecta; Diptera; Glossinidae
Source: Rfam
GGAAGUCUUCAAUUCCGUAGUGCAUUGCAGUUUGUCGAUUUGAAAAUUACUGCAAGCAUUGUGGAAAUGAUGAUUUUCUA